Globicephala melas (long-finned pilot whale) is the source of this 555-nucleotide non-coding RNA. The record is from the annotation of a RefSeq genome assembly. NCBI's taxonomy places the organism in Eukaryota, Metazoa, Chordata, Mammalia, Artiodactyla, Delphinidae.
AUCUGCAAGAAGAUGAAUCCACUGUGGUUCUUCCUCUUCCUGGUGUCAGCUCCCAGAGGUGCCCUGUCCCAGGUGCAGCUGCAGGAGUCGGGACCCAGCCUGGUGAAGCCCUCACAGACCCUCUCCCUCACCUGCACUGUCUCUGGAUUCUCAUUAAGCAGCUAUGCUGUAUCCUGGGUCCGGCAGGCUCCAGGAAAGGGGCUGGAGUGGGUUGGGGGGAUAUAUGGUGGUGGUGGAAGCGCAUAUUAUAACCCAGCUCUUAAGUCCCGGCUCAGCAUCACCAGGGACACCUCCAAGAGCCAAGUCUACUUAUCGCUGAGCAGCCUGACAACUGAGGACACAGCCGUGUAUUACUGUGCGAAAGACACAAUCCUCUCUUUAACCGCUCAGUCUCUGGAUUCUCCAUCACAAACGUUGCUGACUGCUGGGACUGGAUCCCUCAGCCCCCAGAGAAAGGGCUGGGAAAUCGACAAAUAUAUUCCAAUUGGCGGCCACUGGCAUCCUUCCAGCAAGCGGAUGAGUGGCCUUUUGCUCCACAUCAUCCCCAAUCUUUGA